CCUACGGGAGGCAGCAGUGAGGAAUAUUGGUCAAUGGGCGGGAGCCUGAACCAGCCAAGCCGCGUGAGGGAAGAAGGUACAGUGUAUCGUAAACCUCUUUUGUGCGGGAACAAAGGCCGGGACUAGUCAUCGGUUGUGGGUACCGGAAGAAAAAGGACCGGCUAAUUCCGUGCCAGCAGCCGCGGUAAUACGGAGGUUGCGUGCGUUAUCCGGAGUUAUUGGGUUUAAAGGGUGCGCAGGCGCCUUGUUAAGUUAGCGGUAAAAGCCCGGGGCUCAACCCCGGCGAGCCGCUGAAAAUGGCGGGCUGGAGUUGGAGGAAGGUACGCGGAAUGCGCGGUGUAGCGGUGAAAUGCUUAGAUAUCACGCAGAACCCCGAUUGCGAAGGCAGCGUACGGGAUCGACACUGACGCUGAGGCACGAAGGCGUGGGUAUCGAACAGGAUUAGAUACCCUAGUAGUC
Molecule: ribosomal RNA, 459 nt
Filed under: uncultured bacterium
Lineage: Bacteria
Description: partial 16S ribosomal RNA
Rfam family: Bacterial small subunit ribosomal RNA
Source: RNAcentral